GAGGAUAUAGCUCAAGUGGUAGAGCACAUGCUUAGCAUGCAUGAGGUCCUGGGUUCAAUCCCCAGCACCUCCU
This 73-nucleotide transfer RNA is filed under the name Camelus bactrianus (Bactrian camel). It matches the Rfam family "tRNA". Rfam says of the family: Transfer RNA (tRNA) molecules are approximately 80 nucleotides in length. Their secondary structure includes four short double-helical elements and three loops (D, anti-codon, and T loops). RNAcentral also lists the same sequence under 3 other names. Lineage: Eukaryota; Metazoa; Chordata; Mammalia; Artiodactyla; Camelidae. The record is from Rfam by way of RNAcentral.